This 63-nucleotide transfer RNA is filed under the name Oenopia sauzeti. Its description in RNAcentral is "tRNA-Trp". Lineage: Eukaryota; Metazoa; Arthropoda; Insecta; Coleoptera; Coccinellidae. The record is from RNAcentral.
AAGGAUUUAAGUUAAUAAAACUAUUAACCUUCAAAGUUAAAAAUAGAUUAGUUCUAAGCCUUA